Long non-coding RNA from Episyrphus balteatus (marmalade hoverfly), 1163 nucleotides. RefSeq lists it as uncharacterized. The record is from RefSeq and is a predicted model, not a curated record. The transcript has 3 exons. Lineage: Eukaryota; Metazoa; Arthropoda; Insecta; Diptera; Syrphidae.
CGUUCUACUAUAACUUAAUUUACAGGGCUAUUCUGGGCAACCUCACUGAUGUCUCACAAGUCACAAUAACCUCAUAACUCGAGUUAAACUCGAUUUUGUGACUUUUUCGUAUUCUAACGAAAACCUCACAGUCACAAAAACCUCAUAAGGUGUGGUGAGUUUGAUUUUGUGAGGUUUUUGGAAUUCUGGUGUAACCUCAUAACUUGUGAGCCUCAUACAAAUUGUAAAAAUUGUGAUCUCCUUCAGAGCAGGUCACAACUCACAAAUUACUAGAGUUUUGACAUUUUUCAUUUCUAUAAAAUGUUUUGAGAACAAAUAAUUUAAGUUUUUUUAUUUGUGAGUCAAUAAAAAUGGAAUUAGACCUUAUUUUGUUGCAUUUCAUUGCAGAACUUUCAUCGGAAAGUGAAAAAAAAUAGUCCACCAUCUGUGCUGAAGAAGCUUUCCAAUAAUCAAAGAAAUGCUUAAAAACCUCCGUCAAGCCACCGAAGUUUCUGUCAAUCGCAAACAACAUAAAAAGACUAUAUAGCAAAACGCUUAAAAGCAGCAGCGGUAACAUCAUCGACAAGUGCGCAUACAACAAUUACAACAACUUCAGUACCAGCCCCAAACACCAAAAAUAGUAAACAGAGUUUAAUGACGUCCGCAGUUGAAGUUCCUUAGCUUAAUUGGCAAUUUUUAGUCAUCACAGGUUGACACAGUAAAUCAACAGGCCAAAAUCAGUCUCCAGUUGACCACAAGAUACAAAUAAGGCCAAUUGUCAAUGAUUCAGGCCUUUAAAUAUGAAGCCCCGCAGUCAUUCCACACAACAACGUCCAACUCACAAUCAUCACCCACGGCAACAGUAGCAACAUCAGCAAUAGCAACAAGAAGCCAAUGCCAAAGCAUUAGCGUAUGCACUUAUGCAGCCAUAAUGCAACUACCAGACAAUAAGCAAUACCCCAAGUUCCGCAAACACUGUGUGUCUCAGUUUUGUUUUUACCGAUCUCAAAUUCCCCAAAAGAUCACCAAUCGCAGACUCUGUUGAAAAAUUUUAUUUGUUUUGAUUUACAAAAAUCUUUCCUAAAUUCUAGAAAUUAGAGAAUUUUAUUUUUUUUUUAGAAAAAUUAUUUUAUUAAAACGCUUCUUACAAUAAAAUAACGUAUGAAUGGAACCAAAAUCAUAAA